GCAUAGCUCAGUUGGUUUCAGCAUGGUGCUGAUAAAGCCAAGGUUGCAGGUUUGAUCCCUGCACGGAACA
This is a non-coding RNA of Podarcis lilfordi (Lilford's wall lizard), 70 nucleotides long. Lineage: Eukaryota; Metazoa; Chordata; Lepidosauria; Squamata; Lacertidae. The record is from the annotation of a GenBank genome assembly.